This is a long non-coding RNA of Lynx canadensis (Canada lynx), 192 nucleotides long. RefSeq lists it as uncharacterized. NCBI's taxonomy places the organism in Eukaryota, Metazoa, Chordata, Mammalia, Carnivora, Felidae. The record is from RefSeq and is a predicted model, not a curated record. The transcript is spliced from 2 exons.
AAAAAAGCCAUAACGCAGAUGCUGCACACAUCCCACUGGCCAGAACCCAUUCACGUGUGAGAAUUAUUCGUGCAAACCCAAUGUAUCCAUCUCAAUCUUCUAGAAGCUGGCAGAAUUGAACUUCCUGGACACUCUGUGACUCACCAAGGUCACGUGACUAGUUGUUGCCAAUGAAUUUCACGAGGUUAUGUA